GAAUCAACGCUGGCGGCGUGCCUCAGACAUGCAAGUCGAACGCGAAAGGCUCCUUCGGGGCCGAGUAGAGUGGCGCACGGGUGAGUAACACGUAGGUAACUUUGCCUUUGGGUGGGGAAUAACUCAGGGAAACUUGAGCUAAUACCGCAUAAUGCAGCGGCUCGACAUCGAGACAGUUGUUAAAGCGGGGGAUCGCAAGACCUCGCGCCUGAAGAGAAGCCUGCGGCAGAUUAGCUAGUUGGCAGGUAAUGGCCUACCAAGGCGACGAUCUGUAACCGGCCUGAGAGGGCGGUCGGUCACAC
Molecule: ribosomal RNA, 302 nt
Filed under: uncultured bacterium
Lineage: Bacteria
Description: bacterial SSU rRNA
Rfam family: Bacterial small subunit ribosomal RNA
Source: RNAcentral